This 274-nucleotide ribosomal RNA is filed under the name uncultured bacterium. RNAcentral describes it as "partial 16S ribosomal RNA". It matches the Rfam family "Bacterial small subunit ribosomal RNA", at positions 523 to 796 of the family's 1533-position model. The record is from RNAcentral.
AUACGGAGGGUGCAAGCGUUAAUCGGAAUUACUGGGCGUAAAGCGCGCGUAGGCGGUUUGGUAAGUCGGAUGUGAAAGCCCCGGGCUCAACCUGGGAAUUGCAUUCGAUACUGCCGAACUAGAGUAUGGUAGAGGGAAGUGGAAUUUCCGGUGUAGCGGUGAAAUGCGUAGAUAUCGGAAGGAACACCAGUGGCGAAGGCGACUUCCUGGGCCAAUACUGACGCUGAGGUGCGAAAGCGUGGGGAGCAAACAGGAUUAGAAACCCCAGUAGUCC